AUUGAACGCUGGCGGCAGGCCUAACACAUGCAAGUCGGACGGUAGCACAGAGGAGCUUGCUCCUUGGGUGACGAGUGGCGGACGGGUGAGUAAUGUCUGGAGAUCUGCCCGAUAGAGGGGGAUAACCACUGGAAACGGUGGCUAAUACCGCAUAACGUCGCAAGACCAAAGAGGGGGACCUUCGGGCCUCUCACUAUCGGAUGAACCCAGAUGGGAUUAGCUAGUAGGCGGGGUAAUGGCCCACCUAGGCGACGAUCCCUGGCUGGUCUGCGGGGAUGACCGCCCAGACGGGAACGGAGACACGGUCCAGAUUCGUAAGGGAGGCGGGAGUGGGGAAUAUUGCACAAUGGGCGCAAGCCUGAUGCAGCGAUGCCGCGUGUAUGAAGAAGGGCGUCGGGUUGUAAAGUACUUUCGGCGGGGAGGAAGGCGGUGAAGUGAAUAAGCGUGCCGAGUGACGUUACCCGCAGAAGAAGCACCGGCUAACUCCGUGCCAGCAGCCGCCGUAA
Molecule: ribosomal RNA, 506 nt
Filed under: uncultured bacterium
Lineage: Bacteria
Description: partial 16S ribosomal RNA
Rfam family: Bacterial small subunit ribosomal RNA
Source: RNAcentral